CCCUACGGGGUGCAGCAGGCGCGAAACCUUUACAAUGUGCGAAAGCAUGAUAAGGGAACUCCGAGUGCCAGUAUCUAAUACUGGCUGUCCUUGUGCCUAAAACGCACAAGAUAGCAAGGGCCGGGUAAGACCGGUGCCAGCCGCCGCGGUAACACCGGCGGCCCGAGUGGUAGCCGCUAUUACUGGGUCUAAAGGGUCCGUAGCCGGUUCGAUAAGUCCUCUGGGAAAUCUGGUUGCUUAACAAUCAGACUGCCAAGGGAUACUGUCGAACUUGAGACCGGGAGAGGUAAGAGGUAUUUCAGGGGUAGGAGUGAAAUCUUGUAAUCCCUGGGGGACCAUCUGUGGCGAAGGCGUCUUACCAGAACAGGUCUGACGGUGAGGGACGAAAGCUGGGGGCGCAAACCGGAUUAGAUACCCGGGUAGUCCCAGCCGUAAACGAUGCUCGCUAUGUGUCAGGUACGGUGUGACCGUAUCUGGUGCCGUAGGGAAGCCGUGAAGCGAGCCACCUGGGAAGUACGGCCGCAAGGCUGAAACUUAAAGGAAUUGGCGGGGGAGCAC
RNAcentral lists this ribosomal RNA (558 nucleotides) under uncultured archaeon. RNAcentral describes it as "bacterial SSU rRNA". It matches the Rfam family "Archaeal small subunit ribosomal RNA", at positions 321 to 879 of the family's 1478-position model. The record is from RNAcentral.